AGAGUUUGAUCCUGGCUCAGGAUAAACGCUGGCGGCGUGCCUAACACAUGCAAGUCGAACGCGCACGGAGCAAUUCGUGUGAGUGGCGGACGGGUGAGUAACACGUGGGUACCUGCCCUUUGGUGAGGAAUACCAGCGAGAAAUCGCUGACAAUACCGCAUAGGUUUCCCCUUUGGGGAAACAAAGCCCGACAUCGGGUG
RNAcentral lists this ribosomal RNA (200 nucleotides) under uncultured bacterium. Its description in RNAcentral is "partial 16S ribosomal RNA". It matches the Rfam family "Bacterial small subunit ribosomal RNA", at positions 8 to 217 of the family's 1533-position model. The record is from RNAcentral.